Molecule: unclassified non-coding RNA, 339 nt
Filed under: soil metagenome
Description: partial contains 5.8S ribosomal RNA, internal transcribed spacer 2, and large subunit ribosomal RNA
Rfam family: 5.8S ribosomal RNA (bases 1-120)
Source: RNAcentral
GAUGAAGAACGUAGCGAAAUGCGAUACGUAGUGUGAAUUGCAGAAUUCAGUGAAUCAUCGAAUCUUUGAACGCACAUUGCGCCCUUUGGUAUUCCAAAGGGCAUGCCUGUUCGAGCGUCAUUUGUACCCUCAAGCUUUGCUUGGUGUUGGGCGUCUUGUCUCCAGUCCGCUGGAGACUCGCCUUAAAGUCAUUGGCAGCCGGCCUACUGGUUUCGGAGCGCAGCACAAGUCGCACUCUUUUCCAGCCAAGGUCAGCGUCCAACAAGCCUUUUUUCAACUUUUGACCUCGGAUCAGGUAGGGAUACCCGCUGAACUUAAGCAUAUCAAUAAAGCGGAGGA